This 253-nucleotide ribosomal RNA is filed under the name uncultured bacterium. Its description in RNAcentral is "partial 16S ribosomal RNA". It matches the Rfam family "Bacterial small subunit ribosomal RNA", at positions 524 to 776 of the family's 1533-position model. The record is from RNAcentral.
UACGAAGGGGGCUAGCGUUGCUCGGAAUCACUGGGCGUAAAGCGCACGUAGGCGGACUCUUAAGUCGGUGGUGAAAUCCUGGAGCUCAACUCAAGAAAUGCAUUCAGGACUGGGCGGCUAGAGGACCGGAGAGGAUAGUGGAAUUCCCAGUGUAGUGGUGAAAUACGUAGAGAUUGGGAAGAACACCAGUGGCGAAGGCGGCUAUCUGGACGGUUUCUGACACUAAGACACGAAGGCCAGGGGAGCAAACGGG